RNAcentral lists this ribosomal RNA (386 nucleotides) under Telonemia sp. Its description in RNAcentral is "partial small subunit ribosomal RNA". It matches the Rfam family "Eukaryotic small subunit ribosomal RNA", at positions 582 to 975 of the family's 1831-position model. The record is from RNAcentral. Lineage: Eukaryota; Telonemia.
AUUCCAGCUCCAAUAGCGUAUAUUAAAGUUGUUGCAGUUAAAAAGCUCGUAGUUGGAUCUCAGGGUGAGCUCAGUUGGUCGGCCUAAUUGGUCAGAACUGGCUGACUCUCCCUUGUUUCUGAAUCCUGGUCGGAGUUAAUUCUUCGUUCGUGGACUUCAGAUCGUUUACCUUGAAAAAAUUAGAGUGUUCAAAGCGGGCGUUUGCUUGAAUACAUUAGCAUGGAAUAAUGGAAUAGGACCCUGGUUCUAUUUUGUUGGUUUUGAGGACCAGAGUAAUGAUUAAUAGGGAUAGUUGGGGGCAUUCAUAUUUAAUUGUCAGAGGUGAAAUUCUUGGAUUUAUGAAAGAUGAACUUCUGCGAAAGCAUUUGCCAAGGAUGUUUUCAUUG